CUGUAAAUAUUUCUUUUGAUGUAUGUAUUGCAUAUAAAUGUAUGGACAUGUAAAUGGGUCUUGAGCAGCUUAUACAAAAUUUGUAUGAAGUUUAUAAUAAAGUUUAGUUUGUAUUUCUUUUGAUGUGAAUUUUGUAAGGAUGUAUAUAAAUUAUUUUGUCUCUAAUGAAACAUGAGUACAACUAUUUUAUUUAAUUUAAAUGAAAUGUGUUGCUAGUAUGCUGAGGAUUAUUGAAUUUUGAACUUGAGAAAUUUAUUGAAAUGAUUGUGAAAUUGAUUGAGUUUGAUUGUGAAAUUGAAGUAGUAGUUGAGAAAUUUUUUUAGAAGUGCUUUUUACAGGU
Molecule: unclassified non-coding RNA, 340 nt
Filed under: Hevea brasiliensis (rubber tree)
Lineage: Eukaryota; Viridiplantae; Streptophyta; Magnoliopsida; Malpighiales; Euphorbiaceae
Source: RNAcentral